Molecule: ribosomal RNA, 465 nt
Filed under: Vreelandella stevensii
Lineage: Bacteria; Pseudomonadati; Pseudomonadota; Gammaproteobacteria; Oceanospirillales; Halomonadaceae
Description: partial 16S ribosomal RNA
Rfam family: Bacterial small subunit ribosomal RNA
Source: RNAcentral
CCUACGGGUGGCUGCAGUGGGGAAUAUUGGACAAUGGGCGAAAGCCUGAUCCAGCCAUGCCGCGUGUGUGAAGAAGGCCUUCGGGUUGUAAAGCACUUUCAGUGGGGAAGAAAGCCUUGGGGCUAAUACCCUCGAGGAAGGACAUCACCCACAGAAGAAGCACCGGCUAACUCCGUGCCAGCAGCCGCGGUAAUACGGGGGGUGCGAGCGUUAAUCGGAAUUACUGGGCGUAAAGCGCGCGUAGGCGGUCUGAUAAGCCGGUUGUGAAAGCCCCGGGCUCAACCUGGGAACGGCAUCCGGAACUGUCAGGCUAGAGUGCAGGAGAGGAAGGUAGAAUUCCCGGUGUAGCGGUGAAAUGCGUAGAGAUCGGGAGGAAUACCAGUGGCGAAGGCGGCCUUCUGGACUGACACUGACGCUGAGGUGCGAAAGCGUGGGUAGCAAACAGGAUUAGAUACCCCUGUAGUC